Molecule: ribosomal RNA, 1343 nt
Filed under: uncultured prokaryote
Description: partial 16S ribosomal RNA
Rfam family: Archaeal small subunit ribosomal RNA
Source: RNAcentral
UCGGUUGAUCCUGCCGGACCUGACUGCUAUCGGAUUGAUACUAAGCCAUGCGAGUCAUUGUAGCAAUACAAGGCAGACGGCUCAGUAACGCGUAGUCAACCUAACCUAUGGACGAGAAUAACCUCGGGAAACUGAGAAUAAUGCUCGAUAGAACACUAUACCUGGAAUGGUUUGUGUUCCAAAUGAUUUAUCGCCGUAGGAUGGGACUGCGGCCUAUCAGUUUGUUGGUGAGGUAAUGGCCCACCAAGACUAUUACAGGUACGGGCUCUGAGAGGAGUAGCCCGGAGAUGGGUACUGAGACACGGACCCAGGCCCUAUGGGGCGCAGCAGGCGAGAAAACUUUGCAAUGUGCGAAAGCACGACAAGGUUAAUCCGAGUGGUUUCUGCUAAAGGAACCUUUUGUUAGUCAUAGAACCACUAAUGAAUAAGGGGUGGGCAAGUUCUGGUGUCAGCCGCCGCGGUAUACCGGCGCCUCAAGUGGUAGUCGCUUUUAUUGGGCCUAAAACGUCCGUAGCCGGUUUGGUACAUUCGUGGGUAAAUCAAGGCGCUCAACGUCUUGAAUUCUGCGAGCACGGCCAGACUUGGGACCGGGUGAGGUGUGGGGUACUCUCAGGGUAGGGGUAAAAUCCUGUCAUCCUGAGAGGACCACCUGUUGCGAAGGCGCCACACUAGAACGGAUCCGACGGUCAGGGACGAAGCCUAGGGGCACGAACCGGAUUAGAUACCCGGGUAGUCCUAGGUGUAAACGCUGUGGACUUGAUGUUGGGAGUGCUCCGAGCACCCUCAGUGUCGAAGCGAAGGUGAUAAGUCCACUGCCUGGGGAGUACGGUCGCAAGGCUGAAACUUAAAGGAAUUGGCGGGGGAGCACCGCAACCUGAGGAUUGUGCGGUUUAAUUGGAUCCAACGCCGGAAAACUCACCAUAGCCGACGGACAUAUGAAGGCCAGCGUAACGAGCUUGCCGGAUUGUUCGAGAGGUAGUGCAUGGCCGUCGUCAGUUCGUACCGCAAGGCGUUCUGUUAAGUCAGAUAACGAACGAGACCCUCAUCCCUAUUUGCUAAGGUCAGUCCGCUGAUCACAGGACUAUAGGGAGACCGCUGGCGCGAAGUCAGAGGAAGGCGAGGGCAACGGUAGGUCAGUAUGCUCCGAAUGCUAUGGGCUACACGCGCAAUACAAAGGACGGGACAAUGGGCUGCUGCUCCGAAAGGAACGAUGGCUAUCCCGAAACCCGUUCGUAGUUCGGAUUGAGGGCUGUAACUCGCCCUCAUGAAGCUGGAUUAGGUAGUAAUCGCGUCUCAAAAAGGCGCGGUGAAUAUGCCCCUGCUCCUUGCACACACCGCCCGUC